RNAcentral lists this ribosomal RNA (378 nucleotides) under uncultured bacterium. RNAcentral describes it as "bacterial SSU rRNA". It matches the Rfam family "Bacterial small subunit ribosomal RNA", at positions 521 to 896 of the family's 1533-position model. The record is from RNAcentral.
UAAUACGGAGGGUGCGAGCGUUGUUCGGAAUUAUUGGGCGUAAAGCGCACGUAGGCGGUCUGGUAAGUCUCACUGUGAAAGCCCGGGGCUCAACCCCGGGAGGCCAGGGGAUACUGCCGGACUGGAGACAGGCAGAGGCUGGUGGAAUUCCGGGUGUAGCGGUGGAAUGCGUAGAGAUCCGGAGGAACACCGGAGGCGAAGGCGGCCAGCUGGGCCUGAUCUGACGCUGAGGUGCGAAAGCGUGGGGAGCGAACAGGAUUAGAUACCCUGGUAGUCCACGCCGUAAACGAUGGGCACUAGAUGCCGGAGGGAACGACCCCGUCGGUGUCGAAGCUAACGCAUUAAGUGCCCCGCCUGGGGAGUACGGCCGCAAGGCUG